Molecule: ribosomal RNA, 518 nt
Filed under: Cladosporium cladosporioides
Lineage: Eukaryota; Fungi; Ascomycota; Dothideomycetes; Cladosporiales; Cladosporiaceae
Description: eukaryotic LSU rRNA
Rfam family: 5.8S ribosomal RNA (bases 151-304)
Source: RNAcentral
AGGGACCGGUCUACACCGGGAUGUUCAUAACCCUUUGUUGUCCGACUCUGUUGCCUCCGGGGCGACCCUGCCUUCGGGCGGGGGCUCCGGGUGGACACUUCAAACUCUUGCGUAACUUUGCAGUCUGAGUAAACUUAAUUAAUAAAUUAAAACUUUUAACAACGGAUCUCUUGGUUCUGGCAUCGAUGAAGAACGCAGCGAAAUGCGAUAAGUAAUGUGAAUUGCAGAAUUCAGUGAAUCAUCGAAUCUUUGAACGCACAUUGCGCCCCCUGGUAUUCCGGGGGGCAUGCCUGUUCGAGCGUCAUUUCACCACUCAAGCCUCGCUUGGUAUUGGGCAACGCGGUCCGCCGCGUGCCUCAAAUCGACCGGCUGGGUCUUCUGUCCCCUAAGCGUUGUGGAAACUAUUCGCUAAAGGGUGUUCGGGAGGCUACGCCGUAAAACAACCCCAUUUCUAAGGUUGACCUCGGAUCAGGUAGGGAUACCCGCUGAACUUAAGCAUAUCAAAACCCCGGAGAAAA